CCUUAUUAAGCACCAAGGAGCAGGUAUCAGGCACAACUAUUUAGCCCAAAACACCUUGCUACGCCACACCCACACGGGCACCCAGCAGUGAUAAAUAUUAAGCAAUGAGUGAAAGCCAACCCAAGCUCGACUUAGUUAUGGUCAUUAGGGCCGGUAAACCUCGUGCCAGCCACCGCGGUUAUACGAGGGGCCCAAAACAACGGACACCGGCGUAAAUUGUGGCUAGAGCACCUUCUUACAGUACUGAAAAAUGAAAAAAGGCCUAAUCGUAAAACCUAGGCCAAAAGAAACACACAUUUUCAACCAUAAAGCAACUUGAACCCACGAAGACUAAGAAACAAACUAGGAUUAGAUACCCUACUAUGCUUAGUUGUUAAUAUGACACAAAAAAACACAACUGUCCGCCAGAGAAUUACACGCGAAAAGCUUAAAACUCAAAAGACUUGGCGGUGCUCCGUAUUCGUCUUAGAGGAGCCUGUCCUAUAAUCGAUAACCCACGCUUUACCUUACCAUCUUUUGUCAAAACAGCCUAUAUACCGCCGUCGCAAACUUACCCCAUGAGGGCAUAAUAGUAAGUAAAAUAGUAACACACUAACACGUCAGGUCAAGGUGUAGCCAAUAAGAUGGAAGAGAUGGGGUACAUUUUUUAAAACAGAACACAC
RNAcentral lists this ribosomal RNA (662 nucleotides) under Liolaemus jamesi aymararum. RNAcentral's name for it is "partial small subunit ribosomal RNA". It matches the Rfam family "Bacterial small subunit ribosomal RNA", at positions 312 to 1249 of the family's 1533-position model. Lineage: Eukaryota; Metazoa; Chordata; Lepidosauria; Squamata. The record is from RNAcentral.